AGGGUUGUGGCUCAGUGGAAGAGCCUCUGCUUUGCAUGCAGAAGGCCCCAGGUUCAAUCCUCAGUAUCUCCA
RNAcentral lists this transfer RNA (72 nucleotides) under Sphaerodactylus townsendi. Its description in RNAcentral is "tRNA-Ala". It matches the Rfam family "tRNA". From Rfam's summary of the family: Transfer RNA (tRNA) molecules are approximately 80 nucleotides in length. Their secondary structure includes four short double-helical elements and three loops (D, anti-codon, and T loops). The record is from RNAcentral. Lineage: Eukaryota; Metazoa; Chordata; Lepidosauria; Squamata; Sphaerodactylidae.